This 3414-nucleotide long non-coding RNA is filed under the name Macaca mulatta (Rhesus monkey). Its description in RNAcentral is "lncRNA (ENSMMUG00000057645.1)". Lineage: Eukaryota; Metazoa; Chordata; Mammalia; Primates; Cercopithecidae. The record is from RNAcentral.
GGCCUUGGCGGCAACGGGUGGCAAGUGUCCAGGGAGCGCCCCGCGGUGAGUCCAGGACGCAGAGAAGAGUCUCGCGGGAGCCUCACCCGAGACAGCACCGGCGCCCGGGCGAGCCGAGCCCUUCCGCGGUGAGUCGGCGCCCUGGGGUCGCCGCUCCAGGAGCUCAGGGGAGGCACCUCCCCUCCUCCGUGUCUCCGCAUGGCCCUAGGGCUCCCCACAGAGGGAGCCGGGGCCUCCCGCCCACGACCGCGGAGCGGCCCCUUCCCGCGUGGCGGGGCCAGCGAGCUCCUCUUGCGGGGCGUGGACGGGGCCGGGGUGCCCGGCAUCCAAGCUUAUGGAGCAGCCCCCUUUGAAGAUCUCCAGGUGGACCUCACAGAGAUGCAAAGUGUGGCGGUAACAAGUGUUUGCUAGUUCUUGUGUGUACCUGCUCUGGGUGGGUGGAGGCUCAUCCAACACGAACUGAGAAAGCUCCUGAAGUAACCCGUGUGCUUCUUCGAGAUCUUAUUCCUAGAUUUGGACUGCGCUUACGGAUGGGCUCAGAUAACCGCCGGGGGUUUGUGGCUGACUUGGUACAGAAGACAGCGAAGGUGACCCAGUGUGGAUCAAGGACUAGAACGUAGCCUCUUUGUGCCCAGGGUGGAAAGGACCCCAGACUGUCGUCCUGACCACUCCCACCGCUGUGAAGGUAGAGGGAAUCCCAGCCUGGAUCCACCACAGCCUUGUAAAACCUGCAGCGCCUGAAACCUGGGAGGCAAGUGUGGGGAAAAGAAAGAGAUCAGCCUGUUACUGUGUCUAUAUAGAAAGAAGUAGACAUAAGAGACUCCAUUUUGUUCUGUAUUUGAGAUGCUGUUAAUCUGUGACCCUACCCCCAACCUUGUCCUUGCAAGAGACAUGUGCUGUGGUAACUCAAGGUUUAAUGGAUUUUGGGCGUGCAGGGUGUGACUUUGUUCCUAGAAAAGCUAGGUAUUGUCCAAGGUUUAUCCCCAUGUGAUAGGAUGAAACAAUGUUGCUAAAAGGUUUAUCUCAAGGCACAGGAUUUUCCUUUAAACUUAUUCAUGUCACAGAGAUCCUUGUUCUUAUGUCUUACUGCUAAUUUCCUCCCUAAAAAUGAUCCUAUUGUCCUGCCACUCCCUUAUCUUUAAGAUGGUAAAGAUAAUUAUCUAUAAAUACUAAGGGAACUCAGAGGCCGGUGCCGGCGUGGGUCCUCUGUAAGCUGAGCGCCGAUCCCCUGGGCCCCCGCUUUUCUUUCUCUAUACUUUGUCUCUGUGUCUUAUUUCUUUUCUCAAGUCUCUCGUUCCACCUAACGAGAAACACCACAGGUGUGGAGGGGCAGGCCACCCCUUCAGGCAAGACCAAGCCCGGACAACCCUUGCGGAGUGACCCUGAAGAAGACGACAAGCCCUACUCCAGUCACACCCGGAAGCUGACUGGUCCACGCACGGCCGAAGCAUGAGGAAUCUCAUCGUGGGAUUCAUUUUCUUAAAUUUUGGACUUAUACAGUAAGGGCUUCAACUGACCUUACUCAAACCGGUGACUGUUCCCAGUGUAUUCAUCAGGUCACUGAGGUAGGACAGCAAAUUAAAACAAUCUUCCUGCCGGGCGCGGUGGCUCAAGCCUGUAAUCCCAGCAUUUUGGGAGGCCGAGACGGGCGGAUCACGAGGUCAGGAGAUCGAGACCAUCCUGGCUAACCCAGUGAAACCCCGUCUCUGCUAAAAAAAUACAAAAAAAAACUAGCCGGGCGAGGUGGCGGGCGCCUGUAGUCCUAGCUACUCGGGAGGCUGAGGCAGGAGAAUGGCGUAAACCCGGGAGGCGGAGCUUGCAGUGAGCUGAGAUCCAGCCACUGCACUCCAGCCUGGGCGACAGAGCCAGACUCCGUCUCAAAAAAAAAAAAAAAAACAAACUUUCUGUUCUAUAGUUAUUAUGAAUGCAUGGAAAUGUUGAAAGAAACUUGCUUGUAUAAUGCCACUCAGAACAAGGUAUGUAGCCGGGGAAAUGACCAACCUGAUGUGUGUUAUAACCCAUCUGAGCCCCCUGCAACCACUGUUUUCAAAAUAAGAUUAAGAACUGGCCUUUUCCUAGGUGAUACAAGUAAAAUAAUAACUAUAACAGAAGGAAAAGGAAUCCCCAAACAAGUAGCCUUAAGAUUUGAUGCUUGUGCGGCCAUUAAUAGUAACAAGCUAGGAACAGGAUGUGGUUCUCUUAACUGGGAAAGGAGCUACAGAGUAGAAAAUAAAUAUGUUUGUCAUGAGUCAGGGGUUUGUGAAAAUUGUGCCUAUGGCCAAGUGUUAUUUGGGAUACUUGGAAAAAGAACAAAAAGGACCCGGUUCAUCUUCAGAAGGGGAAGCCAACCCCCCCUGUGCUGCCGGUCACUGUAACCCACCGGACCUCAUAAUCACCCAUCCCCUAGACCCCCGCCACCCCUCCUGUGCUGCCGGUCACUGUAACCCACCGGACCUCAUCAUCACCCGUCCCCUAGACCCCCGCCACCCCUCCUGUGCUGCCGGUCACUGUAACCCACCGGACCUCAUAAUCAUCCGUCCCCUAGACCCCCGCCAACCCUCCUGUGCUGCCGGUCGUUGUAACCCACCGGACCUCAUAAUCACCCGUCCCCUAGACCCCCGCCAACCCCUCCUGUGCUGCUGGUCACUGUAACCCACCGGACCUCAUAAUCACCCGUCCCCUAGACCCCCGCCACCCCUCCUGUGCUGCCGGUCACUGUAACCCACUGGAACUAAUAAUCACCAAUCCCCCAGAUCCGCGUUGGGAAAAGGGAGAACCCGUAACCCUGGGGAUCGAUGGGACAGGGUUAAACCCCCAUGUUGCCAUUUUAGUCCGAGGGGACGUCUACAGGCGCUCUCCCAAACCAGUGUUUCAAACCUUUUAUGAGGAGCUGAAUCUGCCAGCACCAGAACUUCCGAAAAAGACAAAAAAUUUGUUUCUCCAAUUAGCAGAAAAUGUAGCUCAUUCCCUUAAUGUUACUUCUUGUUACGUACGCGGGGGAACCACUAUGGGAGACUGAUGGCCUUGGGAAGCCCGAGAGUUGGUGCCCACUGAUCCAGCUCCUGAUAUAAUUCCAGUUCAGAAGGCCCAAGCUAGCAACUUCUGGGUCCUAAAAACCUCAAGUAUUGGACACUACCGUACAGCUAGGGAAGGAAAAGACUUUAUCAUCCCUGUAGGAAAGCUUAAUUGUAUAGGACGGAAGUUGUACAAACAGCACAACAAAAACAAUUACUUGGUGGGGCCUAAAUCACACUGAAAAGAACCCAUUUAGUAAAUUUUCUAAAUUAAAAACUGCCUGGGCUCAUCCAGAAUCUUAUCAGGACUGGACUGCUCCCGCUGGACUAUACUGGAUAUGUGGGCACAGAGCCUACAUUCGGUUACCUAAUAAAUGAACAGGUAGUUGUGUUAUUGGCA